This 492-nucleotide ribosomal RNA is filed under the name uncultured bacterium. RNAcentral's name for it is "partial 16S ribosomal RNA". It matches the Rfam family "Bacterial small subunit ribosomal RNA", at positions 29 to 507 of the family's 1533-position model. The record is from RNAcentral.
AGUGAACGCUGGCGGUAGGCCUAACACAUGCAAGUCGAACGGCAGCACAGUAAGAGCUUGCUCUUACGGGUGGCGAGUGGCGGACGGGUGAGGAAUACAUCGGAAUCUACUUUUUCGUGGGGGAUAACGUAGGGAAACUUACGCUAAUACCGCAUACGACCUACGGGUGAAAGCAGGGGAUCUUCGGACCUUGCGCGAUUGAAUGAGCCGAUGUCGGAUUAGCUAGUUGGCGGGGUAAAGGCCCACCAAGGCGACGAUCCGUAGCUGGUCUGAGAGGAUGAUCAGCCACACUGGAACUGAGACACGGUCCAGACUCCUACGGGAGGCAGCAGUGGGGAAUAUUGGACAAUGCGGGCAAGCCUAAUCCAGCAAUACCGCGUGGGUGAAGAAGGCCUUCUGGUUGUAAAGCCCUGUUGUUGGGAGAGAAAAGCAGCAGGUUAAUACCCCGCUGUUCUGACGGUACCCAAAGAAUAAGCACCGGCUAACUUCGUG